This 64-nucleotide transfer RNA is filed under the name Pleurobema oviforme. Its description in RNAcentral is "tRNA-Asp". Lineage: Eukaryota; Metazoa; Mollusca; Bivalvia; Unionida; Unionidae. The record is from RNAcentral.
AAAGGAUUAGUUAAAGUUAUAACUUGAGCUUGUCAAGCUCAUAUUGCCUGUAAGGUGUUCUUUU